RNAcentral lists this non-coding RNA (94 nucleotides) under human gut metagenome. Its description in RNAcentral is "TPP riboswitch (THI element)". It matches the Rfam family "TPP riboswitch aptamer (THI element)", at positions 10 to 89 of the family's 105-position model. From Rfam's summary of the family: Vitamin B(1) in its active form thiamin pyrophosphate (TPP) is an essential coenzyme that is synthesised by coupling of pyrimidine and thiazole moieties in bacteria. The previously detected thiamin-regulatory element, thi box was extended, resulting in a new, highly conserved RNA secondary structure, the THI element, which is widely distributed in eubacteria and also occurs in some archaea. The record is from RNAcentral.
CAACAGGGGCGCUGGGUUUUCCCGGCUGAGAUGACCGUAAUCGAGCGGUCGGUACCCUUGAACCUGAUACGGGUAAUGCCGGCGUAGGGAGCGA